UAGGGAAUCUUCCGCAAUGGACGCAAGUCUGACGGAGCAACGCCGCGUGAGUGAAGAAGGAUUUCGGUUCGUAAAACUCUGUUGUUAGAGAAGAACAGCGCAUAGAGUAACUGUUAUGCGUGUGACGGUAUCUAACCAGAAAGCCACGGCUAACUACGUGCCAGCAGCCGCGGUAAUACGUAGGUGGCAAGCGUUGUCCGGAGUUAUUGGGCGUAAAGCGAGCGCAGGCGGUCAAUUAAGUCUGAUGUGAAAGCCCCCGGCUCAACCGGGGAGGGUCAUUGGAAACUUGUUGACUUGAGUGCAGAAGAGGAGAGUGGAAUUCCAUGUGUAGCGGUGAAAUGCGUAGAUAUAUGGAGGAACACCAGUGGCGAAGGCGACUCUCUGGUCUGUAACUGACGCUGAGGCUCGAAAGCGUGGGUAGCAAACAGG
This 429-nucleotide ribosomal RNA is filed under the name Bacteroidota bacterium. RNAcentral's name for it is "Bacteroidetes bacterium partial 16S ribosomal RNA". It matches the Rfam family "Bacterial small subunit ribosomal RNA", at positions 355 to 776 of the family's 1533-position model. The record is from RNAcentral. Lineage: Bacteria; Pseudomonadati; Bacteroidota.